RNAcentral lists this ribosomal RNA (2896 nucleotides) under Clostridioides difficile. Its description in RNAcentral is "23S ribosomal RNA". It matches the Rfam family "Bacterial large subunit ribosomal RNA". The record is from RNAcentral. Lineage: Bacteria; Bacillati; Bacillota; Clostridia; Peptostreptococcales; Peptostreptococcaceae.
UCAAGUUAUUAAGGGUGCAGGGCGGAUGCCUUGGCACUAGGAGCCGAUGAAGGACGUGAUAAGCUGCGAUAAGCUUCGGGGAGUUGCACGUAAACUUUGAUCCGAAGAUUUCCGAAUGAGGAAACUCACUUAGAGUAAUGUCUAAGUAUCAUUAAGUGAAUACAUAGCUUAAUGAGGGGAACUCAGGGAACUGAAACAUCUAAGUACCUGAAGGAAGAGAAAGAAAUUCGAUUCCGUAAGUAGCGGCGAGCGAACGCGGAUUAGCCCAAACCAAUAAAGUUUUCUUUAUUGGGGUUGCGGACAUAUCAUAACGAAGAGGUAUCGUAAUUGAAGAGGUUUGGAAAGACCCACCACAGAAGGUAAUAGUCCUGUAUGUUAAACGAGAAGACUUCAGAUAUGAUCCAGAGUACCACGGGACACGUGAAACCCUGUGGGAAGCAGGAGGGACCACCCUCCAAGGCUAAAUACUACCUAGUGACCGAUAGCGUAUAGUACCGUGAGGGAAAGGUGAAAAGAACCCCGGGAGGGGAGUGAAAUAGAACCUGAAACCCUGCACUUACAAGCUGUGGAAGCACAUUUCUUGUGUGACCGCGUACUUUUUGUAGAACGGGCCAACGAGUUACGUUAAGUAGCAAGGUUAAGCACUUAAGGUGUGGAGCCGUAGCGAAAGCGAGUUUUAACUGAGCGUUCAGUUACUUGACGUAGACCCGAAACCGGGCGACCUACCCAUGAGCAGGAUGAAGCGAAAGUAAAAUUUCGUGGAGGUCCGAACCCACGAGCGUUGAAAAGCUCGGGGAUGACUUGUGGGUAGCGGUGAAAUUCCAAUAGAGCCCGGAGAUAGCUGGUUCUCCCCGAAAUAGCUUUAGGGCUAGCCUCAAGGUGAGAGAUACGGAGGUAGAGCACUGAAUGUCCUAGGGGGUAUUGCACCUACCGAAGACUAUCAAACUCCGAAUGCCGUCAUCUUAUACUUGGGAGUCAGACUGUGGGUGAUAAGAUUCAUAGUCGAAAGGGCAACAGCCCAGAUCGUCAGCUAAGGUCCCUAAAUGUAAGUUAAGUGGUAAAGGAUGUGGGAUUGCACAGACAACCAGGAUGUUGGCUUAGAAGCAGCCACUCAUUCAAAGAGUGCGUAAUAGCUCACUGGUCGAGUGAUCCUGCGCCGAAGAUUUCCGGGGCUAAAACUUACUACCGAAGCUACGGCAUCAGUAAUGAUGGGUAGGGGAGCUUCCCAUACGGGUUGAAGCAUGACCGUAAGGACAUGUGGACAGUAUGGGAGUGAGAAUGUUGGCAUGAGUAGCGAGAUGUGGGUGAGAAUCCCACAGGCCGUAAACCCAAGGUUUCCAGGGGAAGGUUCGUCCGCCCUGGGUUAGUCGGGACCUAAGCUGAGGCCGAAAGGCGUAGGUGAUGGACAACAGGUUGAUAUUCCUGUACUACCGAUAACCGUUUGAGAGAAGGGAUGACACAGUAGGAUAAGCUAAGCACACUGUUGGUUAUGUGUGCCCAAGCAUUGAGGCAGUCAAAGUAGGCAAAUCCGCUUUGAUAAUGCUGGGAUGUGAUGGGGAGCGAAAUUUAGUAGCGAAGUAGCUGAUUUCACACUGUCAAGAAAAGUCUCUAUCGAGGUUAAAGGUACCCGUACCGCAAACCGACACAGGUGGGUGAGGAGAGUAUCCUAAGGCCAGCGAGAGAACUGUUGUUAAGGAACUCGGCAAAAUGACCCCGUAACUUAGGGAUAAGGGGUGCCACCAUCAGGUGGCCGCAGAGAAUAGGCCCAAGCGACUGUUUACCAAAAACAUAGGUUUCUGCUAAGUCGCAAGACGAUGUAUAGGAGCUGACGCCUGCCCGGUGCUGGAAGGUUAAGGGGAUCUGUUAGAGCAAUCGAAGCAGUGAACUUAAGCCCCAGUAAACGGCGGCCGUAACUAUAACGGUCCUAAGGUAGCGAAAUUCCUUGUCGGGUAAGUUCCGACCCGCACGAAAGGCGUAACGAUUUGGGCACUGUCUCAACAACAGACUCGGUGAAAUUGUAAUUCCGGUGAAGAUGCCGGAUACCUGCGACAGGACGGAAAGACCCCAUGGAGCUUUACUGUAGCUUGACAUUGGGUCUUGGUACUACAUGUACAGGAUAGGUGGGAGGCUUUGAAACCAGGACGCCAGUUUUGGCGGAGCCAUCCUUGGGAUACCACCCUUGUAGUACUGGGACUCUAACCAUAGGCCAUGAAUCUGGUCUUGGGACACUGUCAGGUGGGCAGUUUGACUGGGGCGGUCGCCUCCCAAAAGGUAACGGAGGCGCUCAAAGGUUCUCUCAGUACGGUCGGAAAUCGUACGUAGAGUGUAAAGGCAAAAGAGAGCUUGAUUGCAAGACAUACAGGUCGAGCAAGGAUGAAAAUCGGACUUAGUGAUCCGGUGGUUCUGCGUGGAAGGGCCAUCGCUCAACGGAUAAAAGCUACCCUGGGGAUAACAGGCUUAUCUCCCCCAAGAGUCCACAUCGACGGGGAGGUUUGGCACCUCGAUGUCGGCUCAUCACAUCCUGGGGCUGUAGUAGGUCCCAAGGGUUGGGCUGUUCGCCCAUUAAAGUGGUACGCGAGCUGGGUUCAGAACGUCGUGAGACAGUUCGGUCCCUAUCCGUCGCAGGCGUAGGAAAUUUGAGAAGACCUGUCCUUAGUACGAGAGGACCGGGAUGGACGUACCUCUGGUGUACCAGUUGUUCUGCCAAGGGCAUGGCUGGGUAGCUAUGUACGGAAUGGAUAAGCGCUGAAAGCAUCUAAGCGCGAAGCCAACUUCAAGAUAAGAUUUCCCACCGCAAGGGUAAGACCCCAGAAAGACUAUCUGGUUGAUAGGUCGAAGGUGUAAGGGCAGCAAUGUAUUUAGCUUAUCGAUACUAAUAGGUCGAGGACUUGACCAA